Molecule: long non-coding RNA, 881 nt
Filed under: Patiria miniata (bat star)
Lineage: Eukaryota; Metazoa; Echinodermata; Asteroidea; Valvatida; Asterinidae
Description: uncharacterized LOC119744884
Source: RNAcentral
AUGAACGGAUGACCUGCUUGCUGGGCUUCCCAUUACUAAUUCUUGAGACAUGAGGACCACUGAUUGAUAAGGGAAUUGUCUUACAGAGAUGGAUGAGCCUGCCUCAAGCUACCAUAAGAUGGGAGGACCGACGGUUGACUGACUCUGCCUGCUUGGUUGGCCAUUACCGAUUCUUGAGAAGAUGAGGACCGCCAAGCUUGGAUGAGACUGGAAAAUUACGAAGCUGCUCUAUCUGGACAAGGAUGCCCUCAUCAGACACUUUCCAAUUUGCGGAAUAUUGGAUCAAAAAUUUGCAAUAUUAUAAAACAUAAAAAUGACGAAAAUACGAAUUCUUACGCCAAAGUUACCGCUAUAAUUGGAAGAAAUAAUAGCUUAAAUCACUGUUACUUGUUAACUUUACUGAGAUACCUGAAAUAUUUGACAACGAAUAUGACGAAAAUUGAAGAAAAAAAGGCAAAUGUGUGUAAAAUACAUUGCAGUGAAAAUCAAAUCAUGAGCGGAUUUUUUUCUCACAGAAAUGCUUCUCGGCUUGCAACAAGUGUCUGAGAAAAUGAUGAAAUUUACGCCGAAAAUAACUGAAAUCAGUGUUGUUUUUACCUUUACUGCGAUACCUACCCAAAAUAUUUGACUAAACGCGUGUGACGAAACGUGGAAACAAAAAUCAAAUCGGUCCAAAUUAAAUAACAACGAAAAUCACAUAUUACGUGGAGUUUCUUCUCGCAGCACGGCACUCUGUUUCUACAGGUAGCUACAGGAAAAUUACACCGAAAAUCAACGCGGCAUAUGUGACGAAACAUAGUUUACACGGCUAAAAAAUCACAGCGUUAGUGAGAGAAAUAAUACUUGAUAUCAGUGUUAUUUUUCUUACCUACAAAGUAAAA